RNAcentral lists this ribosomal RNA (443 nucleotides) under uncultured bacterium. Its description in RNAcentral is "partial 16S ribosomal RNA". It matches the Rfam family "Bacterial small subunit ribosomal RNA", at positions 338 to 795 of the family's 1533-position model. The record is from RNAcentral.
CCUACGGGAGGCAGCAGUGGGGAAUAUUGGGCAAUGGGCGCAAGCCUGACCCAGCAAUGCCGCGUGAAGGCAGAAGGCCUUCGGGUUGUAAACUUCUUUUAUUGGGGACGAAACAAAUGACGGUACUCAAUGAAUAAGCCACGGCUAACUACGUGCCAGCAGCCGCCGUAAUACGUAGGUGGCAAGCGUUAUCCGGAUUUACUGGGUGUAAAGGGCGUGUAGGCGGGACUGCAAGUCAGAUGUGAAAUACAUGGGCUCAACCCAGGGCCUGCAUUUGAAACUGUAGUGCUUGAGUGAUGGGGAGGUAGGCGGAAUUCCGUGUGUAGCGGUGAAAUGCGUAGAUAUACGGAGGAACACCAGUGGCGAAGGCGGCCUGCUGGACAUUAACUGACGCUGAGGCGCGAAAGCGUGGGUAGCAAACAGGAUUAGAUACCCCUGUAGUC